This 388-nucleotide ribosomal RNA is filed under the name bacterium enrichment culture DGGE band 60_1_FGQ_L. RNAcentral describes it as "bacterial SSU rRNA". It matches the Rfam family "Bacterial small subunit ribosomal RNA", at positions 505 to 873 of the family's 1533-position model. The record is from RNAcentral.
GUGUCCAGCCUCGCGCGGUAAUACGUAGGUGGCAAGCGUUGUCCGGAAUUAUUGGGCGUAAAGCGCGCGCAGGCGGUUCCUUAAGUUUGAUGUGAAAGCCCACGGCUCAACCGUGGAGGGUCAUUGGAAACUGGGGGACUUGAGUGCAGAAGAGGAGAGCGGAAUUCCACGUGUAGCGGUGAAAUGCGUAGAGAUGUGGAGGAACACCAGUGGCGAAGGCGGCUCUCUGGUCUGUAACUGACGCUGAGGCGCGAAAGCGUGGGGAGCAAACAGGAUUAGAUACCCUGGUAGUCCACGCCGUAAACGAUGAGUGCUAAGUGUUAGAGGGUAUCCACCCUUUAGUGCUGUAGCUAACGCAUAAGCACUCCGCUGUGCAUACCCCGCCAGU